UGUAUUCCCGACCUCUGUUAUGAUGAACAUCUUCAUGUCGAACGCCUUCUGUCCUGGCGUCCUGGAGGGAGAUGUCCUUGUGUUUAAUGUCUCCUACAAAGAUUGCAACACACGUAUCGAAGAAAACAACAAUACAGUGACAUUCAGCAACUAUCUGAUUGAAUAUGAGAGAGACGCACAGACAAAUCUAGUGAACGGUGCAAAGUGGCGCUACAACUUGGAAUGUGUCCUUCAAAGACACGAAACCGAUGUGAAAACGUUCGUUCCCGUUGACAAGUCCAAGGUCACCAUUCAGGCAACAAGCAAAAUUCAAGGUCAUGAGGCUGACAUAACGUUUUUAACAGAUGCUGCUUACACAAACGAAAUGGGACUCUGCUUGAGGUCAGUCUCGGGUCACGUGUCUACGUCCAGGUAGAGACCAGUGUUGCUGCCGAUGUCAAACUGCUGGUGGACAACUGCUACAUCACCACGGAUAUCACGAGCGGAAACUCGAAACGUCCCAAUUAUACUUAACAGGUGUGAAGCCAACCAUUUCACGCAUAUCAUUGGACAUGUUUACAACUAAACACGUUUCUACUUCGACGUCUUCGAAAUGCCCCAUCACCAUGACAACAUGUACCUCACAUGUGACGUCAGUUUCUGUCCACUCAUGGACUUUUCAUGCAAUGCCAAAUUGGAUGCCUCAGCACAAAUCCGUAGCAGAGAGAACCGAUUACAUUAAGAAUAAGAUUAUGAUGUAGUUGUGAAAUGCAAUCUCAUGUUGCAAAUUUUCAAAAAUGAAACGGACAACUUUAUGGAAUAAACAACUCUGUGCAAACAUC
Molecule: long non-coding RNA, 821 nt
Organism: Haliotis rubra (blacklip abalone)
Lineage: Eukaryota; Metazoa; Mollusca; Gastropoda; Lepetellida; Haliotidae
Exons: 3
Source: RefSeq, a predicted model, not a curated record